This 429-nucleotide ribosomal RNA is filed under the name Fusobacteriota bacterium. RNAcentral describes it as "Fusobacteria bacterium partial 16S ribosomal RNA". It matches the Rfam family "Bacterial small subunit ribosomal RNA", at positions 355 to 776 of the family's 1533-position model. Lineage: Bacteria; Fusobacteriati; Fusobacteriota. The record is from RNAcentral.
UGGGGAAUCUUCCGCAAUGGACGAAAGUCUGACGGAGCAACGCCGCGUGAGUGAAGACGGCCUUCGGGUUGUAAAGCUCUGUUAUUCGGGAAGAACGAUUCGUUUGUGAACAAUGAACGGAAGUGACGGUACCGAAAGAGAAAGCCACGGCUAACUACGUGCCAGCAGCCGCGGUAAUACGUAGGUGGCAAGCGUUGUCCGGAAUUAUUGGGCGUAAAGAGCGCGUAGGCGGUAUGGUAAGUCUGUCUUAGAAGUGCGGGGCUUAACCCCGUGAGGGGACAGAGACUGUCAUACUGGAGUCUCGGAGAGGGAAGAGGAAUUCCUAGUGUAGCGGUGAAAUGCGUAGAGAUUAGGAAGAACACCGGUGGCGAAGGCGGCUUUCUGGACGAGCACUGACGCUGAGGCGCGAAAGCGUGGGGAGCGAACAGG